AUGUUUGCGCUUGGGGCAAUGACGCAGCUAAUGAGGUACUAACCGAGGCGCGUCUAUUGCAAG
This 63-nucleotide small nuclear RNA is filed under the name Brassica napus (rape). RNAcentral's name for it is "U4 spliceosomal RNA". It matches the Rfam family "U4 spliceosomal RNA", at positions 1 to 61 of the family's 138-position model. Rfam says of the family: U4 small nuclear RNA (U4 snRNA) is a component of the major U2-dependent spliceosome. The structure of U4 snRNA from yeast and human has been reported. Lineage: Eukaryota; Viridiplantae; Streptophyta; Magnoliopsida; Brassicales; Brassicaceae. The record is from Rfam by way of RNAcentral.